This 8041-nucleotide long non-coding RNA is filed under the name Sus scrofa (pig). RNAcentral's name for it is "lncRNA (ENSSSCG00065033322.1)". Lineage: Eukaryota; Metazoa; Chordata; Mammalia; Artiodactyla; Suidae. The record is from RNAcentral.
GAGAUGAGAUUUUUGAGAACUUAGGUGAAGAAAGGCCACUUUGAUAGAAAUCCAAAUAUUCUGUUUGGCAAGAGCCCAAUGGCUUUAAAAACACUUUCAGUUUUUGAUUAGGGUCUGACUAGCCAUUGAAAUGUGGGGAAUUUUAGAUAUGGGAUGAUAAAACCAGAAAAAUUUAGGGGAAUAUAGGCAAGCAAGUUCUAAUUCUCUAUGUAGUUUGUACACCAAAACUAAUGGGAAAGUCUGACACAAAGGUCAAAAGAUAGGCUCAUAUGUUCUGAGAAGGUUUUCACUCCUCAAAAGUCAGAAAAAAUGAAAACAUUUCUAAUUUUACCUUUCUUUGAGACACAGUCUUUGUGUCUCAACUGCAUACUUCUAUAUUUUUUCAUAUAUUUUUCCUUGUCCUUUUCUGUGUUUGUACCUGCAUGGGUAUGUUUUGUAUAAUUGCAUCCAAGGUCAACCAGCUUAAACCUAAUGUCUGAGUUGACAUUAAGGAUUUACUGCUUUUGGCUUUCCUGAAGAUUUCUAUUUCUCUUUUGCUCAUAUUAAAUUUAGAGAACAAUACUUUUUUAACACUACCCACAGUUUCAUUUUUUCCAUUUUCUAAUAUUUUGUUUACAAUAAAGGCAAUUUGGAAGACUGAUUUGAAAAGAUACAUGCACCCCAAUGUUCAUUGUGGCACCAUUUACAAUAGCCAAGACAUGUAAACAACUUAAAUACCUAAAUGUCCAUUGACAGAUGAAUGGGUAAAGAGAUAUGGGGUGUGUGUGUGGGUGUGUGUGUGUGUGUGUGUGUGUGUGUGUGUAAUGGAAUACUAUUCAGCUGUAAAAAAAGAAUGAAAAUAAUGCCAUUUGCAGCAAUAUGGGUGUUAAGUGAAGUAAGUCAGACAGAGACAAAUAUCAUUGGAUAUCACUUAUAUGUGGAAUCUAAAAAAUAUAGAUUAUUUAUAUUGCCAGUUGCCUUCUGUGGUAGCCAGCCUCCAAGAUGGCCUCCAAAUACCCACCUCCUGGUGUUCGAGCCUUCAUGUAAGCCCCUGCUACCCUGUGCCAGGGUGGUCUGUGUAAGCAAUAAGAUAUAGCAUAAGUAAAGGAAUGUUAUAAAAGACUGUGACUUCCAUGGUGGCCAUGUUGUGUCUGUCAGUCUGUUUCUCUCUUGUGCGCACACACACACACACACACACACACACACACACACACACACACAGAGUUUCUCUCUCUUUCUCUCUCUUUGCUUACUUACUCUGAGGGAAACAAGGCCUGUUGUGAGCAGCCUUAGGGAGAGGCCCGGAAGGUAAGGAAAUGGAAUUUCUAGUAACAGCCAGCAAGGAACUGAGGCCUGUCAACUGUCGUGUGUGUGUGCUUGAAAUGGAUCCUGAGCCUUCAGGUAACAGCAGCCCUGGCUGACAACUUGAUUGUAAUUUCAUGAACAACUCUGAACCAGAACCCCCAGGUGAGCAGUUUCUGCAUCUUCUUCCUUAGAAACUGUCAGAUCAUAUGUGUUUAUUACUUUAAGCUGGAAAUUUGGGGGCUAAUUUGCUGUAGAGCAAUAGAUAACUAAUACAUAUACUCAACUAAUACAUAUACUCAACUAAUACACUUCUUCCUUUUUUUCUUGCUAACAGGUCUCAAAUUUCUUUCAAAGCAUCAAAGUGCUCAGGAUAAAACAAAACAAACAAACAAAAAAAACAACCAACCAACCACACAAAAGUUAUCCAAGAAGAAAGGAACCAGACUGCUGGACUUGGCCAAGAAUAAAUGGAACUAGAGUUUCAACAUCUUCCUACCCUGUAAAGUUGCAAAUCUGUAGCCUUUGAAAACUGUGAAGAUGGGAAAUGUAGCAAACUGAAUUGAACAUUUACCAACAAUUGUUUGGAGAAUUCUCCUGCGUUUUUGGGUAAGAAACUGUUUACAGCCAUGAUUAUAAGAACCCUCCUUUUUAUUCUCCUUAGUAAACUGGGGCUGCCAAAGUCUGAAGUUCUCUUAUCUGCUCAGACAUUCUUUGAUCCACCCACCUUAAACAGAACAGGAAAAAGGGUUUGUUUUGGUCUUGUUUUUAAGCAUUGUCACACCCUAAGUGGAAAAAUUUUAGAUUGUGUAUUAGACUAGACAAAUUAAAAACACCUAAAAAUAACACCUCAAAAUAUGUUUAUAAGAUAAUGUGGAAAUGAAUAAAAAAGUGAAUUCACUCUUGGGUUACAAAAAAUAACAAAAAAUUGUCUUACUGAGGAAACUCCUUUCUUAUAUUCUUGCCUUCUUCAAUUCCUUCCCUACUUUUUCACGGUCAUUUAAAAUCAUGAUUAAUCUAUUGAAAUCAACAAAAUAUAUUAAAAUCAACUUGUAACUCUUAAAAGUCUUUUAUAUUAGGACUUUAAAAAAAUUACAUCAGCUCAGUUAUUUUGAUACUAAAAUAUUCUGGGGGGGGUUAGGGGAGAUUAAGAAGUGAUCUAUAGAACCAAAGAAACUGCUUAAAAGAUAAUGAAAAUUAAAUUAAUUUCCUGCUGAGCAGUAAUCCUAAGAGAGAGCAAAACAUACCUCCCAAAGAAGUUUUUACCACAUGCCCAUUUUCCUUAGAAUAAAGUAAACUAGCAAGGGAUUCUGAACUUUUAAUCAAUUCUUUGGCAUUUUCCCAGUAUCUGGUGGUAUAUUCUUUUCCUUUUCUUUCUUUUUCCUUCCUUCCUUCCCUCCCUCCUUCCUUCCUCCUUCCUUCCUUCCUUUCCUCCUUUCUUCUUUUCUUUUCCCUUCCUUCCCUCUCUCCCUCCUUCCCUCUCUCCUUCCCUCCCUCCCUCCAUCCCUUCUUUCUUCCUCCCUCCUUUCUUUCUUUCUUUCUUUCUUUCUUUCUUUCUUUCUUUCUUCCUUCCUUCCUUCCUUCCUUCUCUUGACUGUGCCUUUGGCAUGCAGAAGUUCCAGGGCUGGGAUCAAACCCAUGCCACAACAGUGACCCAAGUGCUUACAGUGACAGCCCUGGAUCCUUAGUCUGCUGCACCACAAGGGAAAUCCCAUAAUGGUGUAUUCUUAAUAGAAGAACUAUUAAACUAUUUGGAGCUAACUAAUUAUAUUGAAAACAUGAUCAACCUUUAAUUAACAAAUGCAUAAGAAUGAAGAAAUUGAAACUGAAUAGGUGCUAGGACUUCUGAAACCUAAUUAGAAUUGAAAUGAGGCAGAAACAUAAAUCAUUGCUGCUAAGUAAGGACUCACAUUGUCUUACUUUGAAAGGUGGGAAUGAACUCUUGAUAGAAUCUUUGUUUUGUUUUUUUAAUCACUUGGGUAAAUUAAAGGACCUCCCAUGUAAAUCAUUUUUCAAUUGGCCCAAAACCCAAAUUCAAGUUCUUAUAAUGCUUGGAGAUAAUUCUUCUGACCCAAAGUAAAAGUUAGUAGAAUAGAGCAUUUUCAGGUUGUGAUGUUAGAUACAUUAAUAUGACAUUUAGGUGCUAUUUUUCAAAAAAUGUAGCUAUAAGAUUUUUCCUCUGCACUACAACUCUGUUAAAAUUUCCAGUGGAAAGGAAGCCAUGACUUAGAUUGCUAGAUGGGUUUUGGUGUCAAUCCUGAGCAGAAUCUUGGCUUUACUACAUUUUAGUUUUGUGACCAUAGGCUAUUUAACUUCAAUGAGACACAGUUUCUCAUCUAUAAAAUGGAUCUAAUAGUAACUUUUUAUGAUAUUGUGUGAGAAUUGAAUGAGAAAAUAUGUAAAUCACUUGCUUAGCAGAGGUCAUUUCCUCAUUGUCCUCUUCCAUUACUCACAGUAUUUUAAAUUUCUAACACUUAGAAUUCUCACACAGUACCAACCAAAGUACUUCCUUGGGAUUCUCUGGGGUCUUUCUUCUCUUGGGAUCUCUUAUAUCCUUCUUCCUUGGAUGUCCUUUUUCAGCCCCAUUCUUCCCUUCUUCAUCCUGUCUUCAAUGUCAGUACUAUUUAACCUUUCAUUCUGGUUUUCUGCAGACAUCCACCAUGACUUUCUUCCUCUUUUCUUCUCUGCAGUGAAAUAACUUCUUUGAUCCUUAAUGCCUUCUCAUUCUCUAAGAACAAUUCAGGUAUAUAUAUUACUUGUAAAAACAUUUUGGCAUUACAAAUACUUUUCAAGGAAAAAAAAAAUCCACUCAUGUUCUCUUUCAGUCCCUGCCAUAUGUUUACAUUUAAAAAAUUCAAUUUGUACAUAGCAAGAUGAAACUGUUUGUGAGAUGGUAUGGUGCAAUGGCUAGAACACAGGAAGCGAGAAGCCAGUUCCUGUUCUGUUCUAGUGACCCUUAGUGGGUCCAUUUACUUCUUGAGCUCUCAUUUACUUCAACUCUAAAAUGACACAGUGGGAGAAAUUCCUGAGAUCGCUUUAACUCUGAAAAUAGUCUAAGAAUUGCUAUAUUUGUAAAAUGGGAAUGUUCUCCCAAUACUGCCUAACCCAAGAGUGAGGCUGACCACAGUAUCAUUAUUCAAUUUUCUCCCUUGGUUCCUAUGCACGAGCGCAGAAAAUAAGCAAGGGAUAGAACCCUGCAGGCACAGAUAGGAGUACUUUCUGCCAAGUGGAUAAUUGCCUCUUGGCCUUCUCCCAUGGGGGCCUCUUGCUGUCUAGCUAUACUGAUGCCUUUGGGUGGUUCCAUCUCUCCUGCCUGGGUCUCCUUAUCACAGAUCUGUAACUGCCCUACAAUGACUUUGUGAAAUGGCUGGAUUAAAGCUUCAAGCUUUGCCCUGGAAGAGAACAGGUCUAUUGGUCUGUGCUGGAGACAGUCUCCACAUAUCUCUGUGUUGCAAUGAGAAGCAGAGGACGGGUCCAAUCUGCUGGGUAUGUCAGCUCUGAAGGGGUGGAGGGGAGAAGGUCAGAAACAAACACGCUUAGAAAAAUGUCCCCAUUUAUCCACUUCCUGAUUUGGUUUGUUUUCAGAGUAUUGUCAGAUGCUUCCCUUCCCCCUAAUGACAGUGAACUGAAGAGCCAGCAGGACAGAGGUUUCUGUGUUAAGACAUGAAUGUGAAGUCUUACUGUAUUUUGAGUACUUAAGGAAAAGCUAAUGGGAACUUUCCAGGGAAGAUGGUGGGUGUUAUUAACAUGGAAAUAUGUAUGAGGAUUCCUAAAUGGAGUCUUUAUAGGCUAGAGUUGGAGGCUAAUAAGACCCUGGCUGGUAGCGGGUAGGCAGGGUGUGGGACUGGGUGGGGGUGGGGAGAAAGGGUAGUGAAGAAAGCUUUCUUUUGGAAUCUGGGGACUCCGUGGGCCUGUUUAAAGGGGAGACUGAGCAACACAGAGGAGGUGCUAGAGAAACCACAAUGACUGAACAGCUAUAGGACAGGAGGGAGGCCACUGGCCAGGGCAAAAAUGAGAACCUGUGAGUGGAGGUGGAAGAUCCUAGGAGUUAUUUAUUUUAAGAAAGUGAUUCCUGAAGGGAAGGGCAACACUGGGAAGAACUUGUGAAUUGAAGGGAAAGUGGCCUCUGGGAGUCCCAGAGAGUGAUCUACAUUCAAACCUGAGCCAAGGCAAUCAGGAUAAUGGUCGGCUUGGCCCCCUCACCUCCAGGCCUCUAACUUCUGCAGCUAAGGCCACAGCUGUCCAGCCUGCCCAAAGUUCUAGAGCCAACCCUGUUUUUACAGAGAAACAAGAACUGAGAGUUCUAGUCUGUUGCCAUCGUGGGGACCCUGCUUUUUACUGCAGGGCCUACUCUGACUGGUAACUGUCCUUUUGUUUCCUUUUGACUUAGCUUCUGUUGUGGGUCCCAGGAGCUGCCUCUUUUUCUUAGAAUAAUAUUGUCCCUAUCAUAUUUAAUAACCCUACAAGAAAGGUAAUAUUAUUCCCAUUCUGCAGAUGAGAAAACUGAGGUGUAGACGGUUUGGUUUGGUUUUUCGCAGCCCCCAAAUCAUGGCUCACAGCCAGGAUUCAAUCCAGGCAGUUUAUCACCAGAGCCCAAUUUGGACACACCAGGCCGCCCUGCUUCUCCAUCCAAUCUCCACCUUGGUUAUUUGCCUGCCACUCUGAUUGUACUGAGAUGGCCUAGAUUUAUACUCUAGUCUUUCUUUUGAACAUCUUCAGCAUGCCUGCCUCCUUCAUCUUUCUUUGAUGAUACCCAGCUCUAUGGUUGGCCUGCUUCCUGGGUCUUGACUAUUUCAUGUUUACUGGUCCUUCAGCUUAUGAAGAACCCUGCUGGUGGCCGCUGAGAUCUCCUAAGAGACAUGACUGAACUUGAUUCUCUCUGACUUUGCUUACUCUUCAGUACAGUUGCGUCGUGCUGGUGUAGUCACUGCAGACAGACUGGAAGCCGAGUUUGGCUGGAUAAGAUGAACACUCAGGGUAUGAAGUUAGCUGGAAUGUGAAUCAGGCCUCAGCAGCCCCAGGUAGAAACCAGUCAUGUGGGUUUGAUGUCUAGAAGAGCUGGGAAAGGACCUCUUACCCCUUAGUGGUGAACUGGGGUCAAUUAUUGAAAUCCACAACAUGGCUUGAAGGAUUCAACCCUUCAGCUUGCACGUGACUUUCCUUGGAGCACAGUGCCCGGUGGUGCUGUAGCUCUGACUUGCUGUUUUGGUUAAGGGAGAGGUUCUCAACCUUAUUAUUCAUCACGGCCACCUGCAGAGCUCCUGAGAACUGCUGAAGCCAUCCCCAAAGUUCAGUUUUAGAUGGUAUAGGUUGACUUACAGGCAUCCACAGUUUUACACUAAAGUGCUGCAGAGGAGUGUAAUGCUAACCAUGGUUGCUAACCAUUCACACGCUGGGUGGUUCUUAGCCUGAGGGUAUCACCAGUGAAGAAGUCUCUAGUGUGGCUCUUCCUUGUGAACCCUGGAUGUUGUGGAAUAUAAAUCUGAUCAAUGAAGGAGGGCUGUGUAGGUUCCUUAAGUUGUUUAGGACCGCUAGAGGAAGCAUACCACGGAAGCAUACCACGUGCUUAAAAGAUGCUAGGAGAGAGGAUUAAGAUGGCAGAAUAGAAGGACUAGAGCUCAACUUCUCUCCUAAAAACAACAAAAUUCACAUCUAAAAGCUGAGCAAUCCCCACCCAAAUGGACCGGAAACCUUAAAAAAGAUACCCUACUCCAGAAGAAAAAGAGGAGGCCACAUCAAGAGGUAGAAGGGGUGAUUUCGUGAUAUAAACAACCCCAUACCUCCCAGGUGGGAAGCUCCACAGACUGAAAACUAACUGGUUCACAGAGAGAGACUCACCUACAGGAGUGAGAGUUCUGAGCCCCACAUCAAACCCUCAUGUGCAGAGAUCUGGCACUGGGAGAAAGAGCCUGUGGAGCAUCUGGCAUUGAAGGCCAGUGGGGCUUGUGCACAGGAGCUCCACAGGACUGGGGGAAACAGAGACCCCAUUCUUAAAAGGCACACAUGGACUUUCACAUGCACUGGAUCCCAGGGCAGAGCAAGGUCUUCAUAGGAAUCUGGGUCAAACCUGACUGCAGUUCUUGGAGGACAUCCUGGGAAAACAGGGGUGAAUGUGGCUCGUUGUGAGGGAGGGACAUUGAAAGCAAAGCUCUCUGGAAUAUUCAGCAGCCAUGCCUUUCUCUGGAGGUGGCCAUUUUGGGAAAAUCUGCCCCCACCCAUCAGUCAGCACUGAGAAGCCCCAGGGCAAACAACAACCCAGAUGGGAUCACAGCCCCGCCCCUCAGUAAACAGGCUACCUAAAGACCCCUCAGGCACACAGCUGCCUCUAAUCCCAUCCAGAACUAAGCCCCACCCACCAGAGGGAUUAGAAUCAGCUCCACCUACCAGUGGGCAGGCAUCAGCCCCUCCCAUCAAGAAGCCUACAGCAAGCCCCCCCACCAACUUCAGCUACAAGGGGGGCAGACACCAGAAGUAAGUGAAACCACAACCCUAUUAUCUGUAAAAAGGUCACCACACCAAAAACCUAUAAAAAUGAAAAGACAGAGCACUAUAACUCAGAAGAGGGAGAAAGAAAAACCCCUGAAAAUCAGCUAAGCAAGGAGGAGAUUCUCAGCCUCCAGGAAAAAGACUUUAGAUUGUUGAUGCUGAAGAUGAUGCAAGGCAUUGGAUAUAAACUGGAGGCAAAGAUGGAUAACUUACAGGAAACACUGACCAAAGAGAUACAAGAUAUACAACUUAAACAAGAAGAGAUGCAAAAUAC